GGAUCCAGACUUUGAUUAUGGCUCCAGGACGAACGCUGGCGGCGUGCCUAAUACAUGCAAGUCGAACGAAGCUUUCUUUCCACCGAAUGCUUGCAUUCACCGAAAGAAGCUUAGUGGCGAACGGGUGAGUAACACGUAGGCAACCUGCCCAAAAGAGGGGGAUAACACUUGGAAACAGGUGCUAAUACCGCAUAACCAUGAACACCGCAUGAUGUUCAUGUAAAAGACGGCUUUUGCUGUCGCUUUUGGAUGGGCCUGCGGCGUAUUAACUUGUUGGUGGGGUAACGGCCUACCAAGGUGAUGAUACGUAGCCGAACUGAGAGGUUGAUCGGCCACAUUGGGACUGAGACACGGCCCAAACUCCUACGGGAGGCAGCAGUAGGGAAUCUUCCACAAUGGACGAAAGUCUGAUGGAGCAACGCCGCGUGAAUGAAGAAGGCCUUCGGGUCGUAAAAUUCUGUUGUCAGAGAAGAACGUGCGUGAGAGUAACUGUUCACGUAUUGACGGUAUCUGACCAGAAAGCCACGGCUAACUACGUGCCAGCAGCCGCGGUAAUACGUAGGUGGCGAGCGUUGUCCGGAUUUAUUGGGCGUAAAGGGAACGCASGCGGUCUUUUAAGUCUGAUGUGAAAGCCUUCGGCUUAACCGAAGUAGUGCAUUGGAAACUGGAAGACUUGAGUGCAGAAGAGGAGAGUGGAACUCCAUGUGUAGCGGUGAAAUGCGUAGAUAUAUGGAGGAACACCAGUGGCGAAAGCGGCUCUCUGGUCUGUAACUGACGCUGAGGUUCGAAAGCGUGGGUAGCAAACAGGAUUAGAUACCCUGGUAGUCCACGCCGUAAACGAUGAGUGCUAAGUGUUGGAGGGUUUCCGCCCUUCAGUGCUGCAGCUAACGCAUUAAGCACUCCGCCUGGGGAGUACGGUCGCAAGACUGAAACUCAAAUGAAUUGACGGAAGGGCGAAUUC
Molecule: ribosomal RNA, 961 nt
Filed under: uncultured bacterium
Lineage: Bacteria
Description: bacterial SSU rRNA
Rfam family: Bacterial small subunit ribosomal RNA
Source: RNAcentral